UGCCAGCAGCCGCGGUAAUACGAAAGGGGCUAGCGUUGUUCGGAAUUACUGGGCGUAAAGCGCGCGUAGGCGGCAUACCAAGUUGGGGGUGAAACCCCGGAGCUCAACUCCGGAACUGCCUCCAAAACUACAAAGCUAGAGGAUGUGAGAGGAUAGUGGAAUUCCGAGUGUAGAGGUGAAAUUCGUAGAUAUUCGGAAGAACACCAGUGGCGAAGGCGACUGUCUGGCACAUUUCUGACGCUGAGGUGCGAAAGCGUGGGGAGCAAACAGGAUUAGAUA
RNAcentral lists this ribosomal RNA (279 nucleotides) under uncultured bacterium. RNAcentral describes it as "partial 16S ribosomal RNA". It matches the Rfam family "Bacterial small subunit ribosomal RNA", at positions 506 to 784 of the family's 1533-position model. The record is from RNAcentral.